RNAcentral lists this RNase P RNA (409 nucleotides) under Amycolatopsis acidiphila. RNAcentral describes it as "Amycolatopsis sp. 2-5 Bacterial RNase P class A". It matches the Rfam family "Bacterial RNase P class A". Rfam says of the family: Ribonuclease P (RNase P) is a ubiquitous endoribonuclease, found in archaea, bacteria and eukarya as well as chloroplasts and mitochondria. Lineage: Bacteria; Bacillati; Actinomycetota; Actinomycetes; Pseudonocardiales; Pseudonocardiaceae. The record is from Rfam by way of RNAcentral.
CGAGUUGGCCGGGCGGCCGCGAGGGCGCGAGCCUUCGAGGAAAGUCCGGACUCCGCAGGGCAGGGUGGUUGCUAACGGCAACCCGGGGCGACCCGCGGGACAGUGCCACAGAAAACAGACCGCCCCAGCUCCGCCGGUGCCUCUGGCGCCGGCGGGCGCGCUUGGGGUAAGGGUGAAACGGUGGUGUAAGAGACCACCAGCAUCCCGGGCGACCGGGGUGGCUCGGUAAACCCCACCCGGAGCAAGGCCAAGAGGGCACCUGCACGGUGCCUGCGCAGGCGUUCGAGGGCUGCCCGCCCGAUGCCUGCGGGUAGGCCGCUCGAGCCUGCCGGCAACGGCAGGCCUAGAUGGAUGGCCGCCACCGCGCCUCGGCGCGGGACAGGAUCCGGCUUACAAGCCAACUCGUCCG